RNAcentral lists this ribosomal RNA (253 nucleotides) under uncultured bacterium. Its description in RNAcentral is "partial 16S ribosomal RNA". It matches the Rfam family "Bacterial small subunit ribosomal RNA", at positions 524 to 776 of the family's 1533-position model. The record is from RNAcentral.
UACAGAGGGUGCAAGCGUUAAUCGGAAUUACUGGGCGUAAAGCGCGCGUAGGUGGUUCGUUAAGUUGGAUGUGAAAUCCCCGGGCUCAACCUGGGAACUGCAUUCAAAACUGACGAGCUAGAGUAUGGUAGAGGGUGGUGGAAUUUCCUGUGUAGCGGUGAAAUGCGUAGAUAUAGGAAGGAACACCAGUGGCGAAGGCGGCAUCCUGGACCGGUAUUGACGCUGAGGCGCGAAAGCUAGGGUAGCAAACGGG